UGUUGCGUUGACUCAAACUCAGAGGAAUGCAUUAGGCAAACUUCGAACUCCACCGACUCCACUUUCUACAUCACGACUGCGCAUCUUCCAUCCGACACCACUGAGCUCUUACGAAUGUAAGAUUGUCACCUGCCGAUGGAGGCGACGAACGGAAGAAGUUCGG
This is a long non-coding RNA of Rhodamnia argentea, 163 nucleotides long. RefSeq lists it as uncharacterized. Lineage: Eukaryota; Viridiplantae; Streptophyta; Magnoliopsida; Myrtales; Myrtaceae. The record is from RefSeq and is a predicted model, not a curated record. The transcript has 3 exons.